AUUUCUCCAGGCAUCGUAGAGCUGCUCGAAAGAUGCCACAAUGGCAUCCUGAUCUCUACAAGCUUUCUCAGCGUCAUGGAAGUUCAGGUUGUAGCGGCCCAGUCGAGGGAAAUAUGGAAAGACAAUGCCUGUGGAAUGUCAAAGAUCAGACGACAGCCCCUCACCAGCACCCCAUACUGGGUACCAGCAUCUAGAACAAAGCGGUGACCUUUUCAUCUUUACAGAGUCCUCAGAAACUAGGUUAAAAGUCCACGGAGAGACGUUUUGGUUGUGCACAGGUCAAGGGACACAACUGCUGUGUCGUCCUCCAAGCCAUCGAUGACCUCACACUUGUAUUUCCCAUAAUCCUCCAGUGUGAUCUCAGUGAUGACCAGCGAGGCAUCGUUCUCGCUGGCAGCCUGCAAGUACACGCGGCC
Xyrauchen texanus (razorback sucker) is the source of this 416-nucleotide long non-coding RNA. RefSeq lists it as uncharacterized. Lineage: Eukaryota; Metazoa; Chordata; Actinopteri; Cypriniformes; Catostomidae. The record is from RefSeq and is a predicted model, not a curated record. The transcript is spliced from 3 exons.